GCCCUUCCAGCCAGCGCUUCGGCGCGUCCUCUCGGGGACAAGCUCUUCCGUGGGCUCCGCAGAGGUGGAGACCAUACUAAAAUGGCUCUGCCUGGUAAACUGCAGUUUCAGCCGCGUACCCCUCCCCUCGUCCUCCUGACGUCGCCGCUGACAAGGGCACAAUCCUCUCCAACUCCCGAAACCCACGAUUUUGCACCGGGCCGUGCGGUGGACGCGAGUAUACAGUCGAUUACAAAGAACAUUCCACAGGAUUCUCGAAGGGCCCAAGUUUUCUUUUUUUGUGGGUAGGAGCGGGAGGAGGGAGGAACUGAGACGCUGCAGGAGCCCAGCCGACUACCGCCCCAGCACCGAGGGGGUUUGGGGUGCUCCAGCGGUUGGGGCUGGAGACUUUUAGGGAUAAAAAUACGAGGGGAAGUGAAUGGUCGCCAUGCGGAGCGAUGGCCACUGCUCGUCCUUGAUUGCGUUUUCAGUGUCCAACAGUCCAGAGACGACGCCAGGAAGCCUGGGAGACCAUUCCCAAACUUCUGGAGACCUGCUCGCAGUUUCGCUUUCGGAAUUUUCGGGAUCUGUGGGUUUCUAGAGUUGGGUGGCAUUCCGGGAAGGCAAGGCGACGUUCGCUGCCCCGUCGUGCGGUCCUCGGACUUCUCGCCCAUCCCUGCGCCCCCUUGCUUCGCCUGCCUUAUCUCGCCGCGCAGUGUGAGGGUUUGGACUCCCCGGCCAGCGCGCCGCCCCCCGCGCCGCAUUCGGAGGGCUCCAGCCGCGCAGCCGCGGCGGAUCCGGAGCCGAGUGGUGGGAAACCGUUUUCAACGAGGGCCGGCAUCGCUUGGAUCCGGAACCAUCACCGCAGCCCACCGCUCUCCCACACCCCUCCGCCCUUGCACGGUAGCCAAGGGACUUGGGGGGACCGAUUGGCGUGUCUACACGGAGUGAAUGGAUCCAGGUUCCACCAGGUCGGAGGAAAAGCGUAAACAGGCUCAGAAAUUCGGCCUCAUUUCCUGGGGAGGCGGUUGGGGGUGGGGAGAGAGACUGAGCGGGUAAGCGGGAGGAGGAGGGAGAGGGAAGAGACCUUGGUGGUCAGAAGGAAUUGUUGGCCAGGCUCUCUUUUGAGAUAGGGGAUCUGCUACUUUUUCCCUACUAGGCAUUAAAUUUGCACACACACACUGCUUCCUGCCAUAAAUAAAUACCGUCGCAGAUCUUUAUCUUAGCCCGUUUGCUGGGACCAAGCCUCCUGCCAGCGAGGGGGGCUGGAGAAAUGCCUGCGCACCCUAAGACUCCAGGCCCUCUCCCGAAGUUACUGCUCCCUAAAGGAC
RNAcentral lists this long non-coding RNA (1310 nucleotides) under Marmota monax (woodchuck). The record is from RNAcentral. Lineage: Eukaryota; Metazoa; Chordata; Mammalia; Rodentia; Sciuridae.